Molecule: ribosomal RNA, 557 nt
Filed under: uncultured Gram-positive bacterium
Lineage: Bacteria
Description: partial 16S ribosomal RNA
Rfam family: Bacterial small subunit ribosomal RNA
Source: RNAcentral
CNGCCGGCANNGCUGAAAACUUCAAAAGGAAUUGACGGGNNCCCGCACAAGCGGGUGGAGGCANNNGGUUCAAUUNGAAGCAANGCGAAGAANCUUACCNGGUCUUGACAUCNUCUUGACAACCCUAGAGAUAGGGCUUUCCCCUUCGGGGGACAGAGUGACAGGUGGUGCAUGGUUGUCGGUCAGCUCGUGUCGUGAGAUGUUGGGUUAAGUCCCGCAACGAGCGCAACCCUUGAUCUUUAGUUGCCAGCAUUCAGUUGGGCACUCUUAAGGUGACUGCCGGUGACAAACCGGAGGAAGGUGGGGAUGACGUCAAAUCAUCAUGCCCCUUAUGACCUGGGCUACACACGUGCUACAAUGGAUGGUACAAAGAGCCCGCAAACCCGCGAGGGCAAGCUAAUCUCAUAAAGCCAUUCUCAGUUCGGAUUGCAGGCUGCAACUCGCCUGCAUGAAGCCGGAAUCGNUAGUAAUUCGCGGAUCAGCAUGCCGCGGUGANUACGUNNNCGGGCCUUGNACACACCGNCCGUCACACCAACGAGAGUUNGUNAAUCACCCCG